Oryza brachyantha (malo sina) is the source of this 6078-nucleotide RNA transcript. It is a transcript of the gene named nuclear pore complex protein NUP214, with no coding region annotated. NCBI's taxonomy places the organism in Eukaryota, Viridiplantae, Streptophyta, Magnoliopsida, Poales, Poaceae. The transcript is spliced from 21 exons. The record is from RefSeq and is a predicted model, not a curated record.
GUCUGCCCUGCCUCCCCCUCCGCCGCGCCGGCGACGCUGCUCCGCUUCCACUCCCACGCGAAGCCCUCCGCUACUUGCGCUCUAGUUAAGUUCUACUCGCUCCAGGACAACCCCAUUUGCUCCCUCGCCGCGCUGUCCCCGCCCCGUUUCCCGCCCAAAACCCUAGGUCCCGGCCAUGGCGCCGCCGCAUGAGCUGGACCUCUCCGACGAGGUCGAGGGAGAGGAAGAAGGCACCACCGACUUCGUAUUCCGCCUCGCCGGUGACCCCAUCCCCCUCCUCCCUACCACCUCCUCGCCUCUCCCGCUCUUCGACCUCCAGUCGCCUCCCUCGCGGCCGCUCACCGUCUCCGACCGCCACGGCGCUGUCUUCCUCGCCCACCCUAAUGGGUUUAUGGCUGCGAGGACCAAGGCGUUGAUCGAAGCUAGCAAGGAGGCACGAGAGAAGGGCAAGGGGAGCACCCGCUGCGCGCAGGACUGCUGCGUCGCGGACAUUCCUCUUCCCGGGGUCUCCUUCCUCGAGCUCUCCCGUGAUGAAUCGGUGUUAGCUGCCUGCGCUGGCAAUGUGAUGCACUUCUUCUCGGCUUCUUCCCUGCUCACCGACAAGGAUGCAGAACCAUUGUCAACAUGUACCAUGGAAGGAUCCAACACUAUUAAAGAUUUUAAGUGGCUAAAUCAGGCCUCCAAAGCCUUUAUUGUACUCUUGAAAGACGGGUUGCUGUCUCAAGGAAGUUUGGGGGAAGGUCUUAAGGAUGCAAUUGAAAAUGUUGAUGCUGUUGACUGCUGCAAGGAAGGGACUCACAUUGUUCUUUCAAAAAAGAAUGUUCUUAACAUAUUGUCGUCAGAUCUUAAGGAAAUGUGUUGCAUGUCCCUCUUGUUCCAGCUAUGGUCUGAUGAUAAUGAUUCAGAAGAUGCUAGCAUCAAAGUGGAUUCAAUUGGAUGGGUGCGCGAUGACAGUAUUGUUGUUGGUUGUGUAAAAUUGAAUGAAGAAGGCAAUGAAGAGGGUUACCUUGUCCAAGUUAUAAGAAGCUCUGGAAACACAUUUUUUGAGAACUCAGACAAGCCAGUUGUUUUCACCUAUGUGGAUUUUUUCCGAGGAAUCAUGGAUGAUGUUUUACCACCUGGAGCUGGACCUAAUCUGUUACUGGGCUUUCUGCAUCGCUGGGAUCUAAUGGUGGCUUCCAAUAGAAAGAGCAUUGACGAACACAUUUCACUCUUGAAAUGGUCAUCUGCAACUGAUGACGAAAAAUCCGUAGUAUAUCUUGAGAUGUUGGAGGAUAAAUAUAGUCCUAGGAUUGACCUACAAGAGAAUGGUGAUGACAAUGUUACAUUGGGGUUUGGUGUCGAGAAUGUGUCAUUAUAUCAGAAGAUCACUGUAACAGUUGGUCCUGAACAAAAGGAGGUUGCUCCUCAACAUGUUCUACUUUAUCUGACUGGUGAAGGGAAAUUGAAUAUAUAUUUUCUUGCCAGAAUUUCUGAUCCUUCUGAAUUGACUCAAAUGAAGCUAUCUGCGGCUAUUGAAGAUAGCAAUGUGAAGAAACUAAUUUCACCUGCAACUGUUUCUGGAAAAGAGUUUACUCCAAGUGUUACCAGUUCAUUGGGCAGGAGUAUUCUCACAGAAAGUGGGGCUGAGCUUUCUAGUGCACAACCAGAUAGAGACCAGCAUGGAUCAACAGAUGUGAAAAACAUUUCUCCAGUUUCAAAAACCAAGGAAAUAGUGGCUUCCCCACUUGCACCUGCCUCCUUAGCACCAGCAAGCAACAUGAAGCCUGGAAUAUCUUUCAGCUUUCCUACUGUUAAUACCGUAGGUAUGAAUACAGCAGGAAGCAACACAUCUAGUGAAUUUGUUUCUUCUUGUCAACAAAGCAGCAGUAGCACUUUCAUAAAUAACCAACUUGGUAAAGGAAACGUCGGUUCCACCCAACCGGUGGGAGCACUCGGGGGAUCUCAGAACUCAAAGAAAGAUGGUGGCCUUAAUUUUAAAUCAUUGAAGUUCAGUUCUGAUGGAUCCACCCUGGUUAAGUCUGGAGAAAGGAGUGAAAGUGGUUUUGGAAGUCACCCACUGCAAAGCAGCUAUACUACUGAUAAGAAAAUUCCUAGUUCAGUUGGCUUAAGUUCUGAACCAUUGCCAUCAAUUUCUCCAAUAAAACCUUCCUCAGCUGGACCUUCAUCCACUGGCUUUCGUACAGGAAAUAUUGAAGCAUUUCCUACCUCACGUGGAUCACCUCUACCACAGGAAAGCAUUGACAAAUCACAUAACAGAACACAUGCAGCAGUGGACUAUUCUAAAAAUUUCAAGUCAGGCACAAUGCUCGAUACUGAACAAGAUUUGUCUAAAAAAUUUUACAGUAUUAAUGAUAUGGCCAAGGAGCUAGAUACACUCCUAGCAUACAUAGAGAAGGAUGGUGGUUUCAGAGAUGCCUGCAUAACCUUCCAGGAACGCCCUCUUUCUAUGUUUGAGGGUGAUUUGCAAAAUUUUCUGGAACUGUUGCAGAUCUUUAAGAACAAGAUAGUAGAACAGUGUUCAAGAGCUGAAAACCUGCGGAAUAAGAUGUUUCAAGUCUCUGCUAGGCAAGCUUACAUGAAAGGAAUUGUGGAUCAAUCUUCAGAUACCCAGUACUGGGACAUAUGGAACCGUCAGAAAUUGAGUCCAGAAUUUGAAGUGAAGAGGCAGAAUAUUCUCAAAGCUAACCAGAAUUUGACAAACCAGCUGGUAGAGCUGGAGAGGCAUUUCAAUAAUCUGGAGAUGAACAAAUUCGGAGAAACAGGAAGAAUUGCUUCUAGUCGCAGAGCUAUUUAUUCUAAUAAGUCACGGUCUAGUCAGAUGCAACUAUCUAGUGUGUACAAUGCGCUGAAUUCACAAUUAGCAGCAGCUGAACAACUGUCAGAUUGUCUCACAAAACAAAUAUCUGCACUAAAUAUAAGCUCUCCUUCUACAAAACGAGGGGCAGUGGCCAAAGAGUUGUUUGAAUCAAUUGGUCUAGAUCACAAGAUGGAUGCAUCCAAAUUUUCAGGUGGUACUCCUUCCAAUUCAGUGAAGAGAUAUCCAUCAACAAGAGAACACAUAACUAGCAUAUUAGGGCCUUCCAAGAGUGCUGAGCCUGAGACUGCAAGGAGGAGGAGAGAGUCGCUGGAUAGGAGCCUGGCUAGUUUGGAGCCUCAGAAAACUACUGUUAAAAGAAUAGCGCAACAACAGCGCCUCAAGAUCAGCAGUGACCUGCCAUUCAGGUCAAAUAAGAAAAUAUUUGAUUCCCAGAUGGCGGCUAUCUCCCAGGAGAAAUCUAGUGGUAGCCCCACUUCUUCCAUAGUAGAAUCAUAUGCAAACAAGCUGCAUUAUCCAAGUGAAGUGCUGCAUGAGAAAACAAAACCGUCAAGUGCCCAGCACAACACAUUGUUCAAAUGGGUAAAAGAGUCAGCUGGACCAUCUCAAGGCCCUCAGCAUAAGUAUCCUGACUUAACAGGGCAGCUGAAAAGCUCUGACCAGCCACCAAAGUUAGCGCCAUCUUCACCAUUGUCAUUCAGUUAUUCACAUAAGGAUGUCCGGGAGAAUAUCAGCUCAUCCAAUGUUUCAUCCUCUGGAACAACUCACACUGUACCAAAGCCAAGUACUUUGACCUUUAAAACCACUAUCAUUCCUAAAACUAAUUCCAGUACACUCCCAGAUAUGUCACCUUCGAUGAUGGGCUCAAAAUUCUCUCAGUCUCCGCUUUCUGUUAAAACUUUAUCUGGGGAUUCUGGAGGCGUAUCUUCCAUGAUUACAAAGAACAGACAGGGUGGACAGGCAGUGCCAUCUGCGGGAAGCACAAAAGGAUUGGAUGUUUCUCCACAGAGUGUGGGUGGUGCAUUUAGAGAUCUUAACAAACCAUUGUCUCCUGAACCUUCCAAGUCUGCUCUGUUACAAGGGAAGACUGUGCAACUUAGUAAGAUUACUGAUACAGUGCAGAUCCCAGCGAAAGGUAAACCUGAGGUGGCAUUUCAACCUCCUGCAUUUUCUCCAACACCUGUUGCACAAUCCUCUCCAUAUUCUAUUAAGACAGCUGCCCCCUCUUCAGCUACAUCAUCCUCAUCAACUAUGAAAGAAGCAGCUACAAAAAUUUCAGAUGCUUUGUCUCCAACAGUUCCUUCCGUUUUUCCACCAAAGGAAUCAAUGCCAGAACCUUCAUCACCAUUACCUGAUAGUCCUAUAUCUAGCUCCCUACCAUCUAUUCCAACCCCUGUUAAGGAGUCAUCAACUGGCUUGAAUAAAAUUGUAUCUAUGCCUGAAGUGGGUACAUCAGAGGUAACUGGAACAACAGUUUCUGCAAGUACUAGUUCGAGCAUACCAAUCACUGAAGGCAAGCCUCCAUCGAUUCCAGAAACUAAUGGAAGCUUACCUUCAGUACCUAUCUCUGCGCCUGAAGUGGCACCAGCGGCCACAGAAUCUAUUGUUGUCACUUCCACCGGAAAAGAUGUAGGACCAAACAAUCUCUCAUCAGAUGAAGAUGAUAUGGAAGAGGAGGUUCCUUCUGCAAGUUCGGAUCUCAACUUGGCUGCCCUUGGUGGUUUUGGUCUUGGGUCUGUGCCUUCUUCAAGUCCUCAAAAGUCCAAUCCAUUUGGGAACUCAUUUACUACCUCUGACAAUAAAAGUUCAGGUUCGUCAUUUACUCUGACAACUAGUCCAGGACAGCUUUUCCGUCCGGCAUCACUGAGUAUUCCUUCAUCUCAGCAAGCCCAGUCAUCCCAAUCAGCUAGCUCCACUACAUUUUCUAGUGCAUUCUCAAGUGGGCUUAGUGGAUUCGGGCAGCCUGUACAGAUUGGAUCAGGGCAGCAGUCUGGGUUUGGGCAGCCUGCACAAAUCGGAGCUGGGCAGCAGUCAGGAUUUGGUCAGCCAGCACAAAGUCAGUCAGGAUUUGGUCAACCAGCACAAGUUGGAGUUGCGCAACAGUCAGGAUUUGGGCAGCCUGCGCAAAUUGGGGCAGCACAGCAGUCAGGAUUUGGGCAGCACGCACAGUUUGGUGCUCAGCAAGCUCUUGGAUCUGUCCUAGGUUCUUUUGGACAAUCACGCCAAUUGGGAAGUUUUGGCGCUGGAGGAUUUGGUGGGUUUGCUAGUGCUUCCACUUCUGGGGGCUUUGCUUCUUUAUCUUCCAGCAGUUCUGGAUUUGCUGGUGGUGCAACAGGUGGUAGCUUUUCUGCAGCUGCUGCUCCUGCUGGUGGAGGGUUUGCUGCUGCUGCUGGUCCUGCUGGUGGAGGGUUUGCUGCUCUUGCCUCCAAAGGUGGAGGUUUUGCGUCUGCAGCUUCAUCUGGUGGCGGUUUUGGAGGUGCAACCCAGGGAAGUGCCUUCAGCAGUGGUGGAUUUGGAGCUUUUGGUGGUAAUCAAGGGUCUGGCUUCUCGGCAUUUGCGGGGAGUGGCUCUGCUGGAUCUGGAGGACCCCCAGCUAAUCUUUUGACACAGAUGAGAAAAUAGUAGAGUUGUAAUUCCAGAGGGUACGGCCGGACAGAUGGGCAAAGAGAGAACAAAAGCAUAUGAUACCAAACAUUUAACAAGUAACAACCGAAUGUAUUCAUGUAAUCUUUUCCCAAAUAUAUAUAUAACAGCAUAAAAACGGACUUAGAAAAAGCUAAGGGCACAAGGACUGAAGGAGUUUGUUCCAUAUUCUAAGCUGGAGAAUCAGGCAGCUAUCAGCAGGAACAGAACAUAUUCAACUUCAAUAUAUAGCUGAGGAAAUACAGAUGAAAUUUUAUCGGCACACGUAACAGCAACAGGCACAAUCCCAAGAAAAAGUGCAAAUGCAAGAGAACUUUGAAAGAACAGCGAAGAAUACUGAUGUGCUCUCUUCCUUUGUAUGCCCAUACUCUUGUCAAUCCUUUUUCAACAAGCCCCUGCAGCAUCUGAAUAUUUUGAUGUGUGGUUUCAUCACUCUCCUGGCACAUGUUACGUUAUUAACUUUGUAACUACCUAUCUUGGUACCUGAAUAAACAUUAACAUAAGUCUGGAUAAACUGUUCCUACUUAGUAAAUGGUCUGCCGUACUAGUAUGACUGUCUUCUUUUUAAUGAUAUUAGAGUAGGAUAAAAACUACUACCUGCAUUUUUUGUGAUGAAU